Molecule: ribosomal RNA, 406 nt
Filed under: uncultured bacterium
Lineage: Bacteria
Description: partial 16S ribosomal RNA
Rfam family: Bacterial small subunit ribosomal RNA
Source: RNAcentral
AUUGAACGCUGGCGGCAGGCCUAACACAUGCAAGUCGAACGAGUGGCGGAUGGGUGAGUAAUGUCUGGGAAAGUGCCUGAUGGAGGGGGAUAACUACUAGAAACGGUCGCUAAUACCACAUACCCUGGGAUGUGCCCAGAUGGGAGUAGCUAGUAGGGGGGGUAAAGGCUCACCUAGGCGACGAUCCCUAGCGGGUCUGAGAGGAUGACCAGCCACACUGGGACUGAGACACGGGCCAGACUCCUACGGGAGGCAGCAGUGGGGAAUAUUGCACAAUGGGCGCAAGCCUGAUGCAGCCAUGCCGCUUGUAUGAAGAAGGCCUUCGGGUUGUAAAGUACUUUCAGCGGGGAGGCGUUACCCGCAGAAGAAGCACCGGCUAACUCCGUGCCAGCAGCCGCGGUAAUAC